Long non-coding RNA from Hevea brasiliensis (rubber tree), 566 nucleotides. RefSeq lists it as uncharacterized. The record is from RefSeq and is a predicted model, not a curated record. The transcript has 2 exons. Lineage: Eukaryota; Viridiplantae; Streptophyta; Magnoliopsida; Malpighiales; Euphorbiaceae.
AAAAGAAAAGAAGUAGCAAAAGGAAGAAAGGAGUAUCGGGAAAGGGAAGGAAGAAAGGAAAAGAAGAAGGGGAAAAAGAAGAAGGGAAGAAGAAGGAAGGAAGAUUGGCCGAAUUUUUUAGGUUUCUCCAACAAGGAAGAGCACCAACAAGGAGAAAAGAAUGAUUUUGGUCUAGAAUACAAGAAAUUAUAAAGAAAAAAGGGAGAAAGAAGAUGAAUAGUAGCAGAGACAGGGGUUAAGCAAGGGCAACAGAUUUGUCUUCCGUCCAGCGUGUGUGUGGCGUGAUUAUGGAUAUGGGUAGGACAGUCAUGGUUGGAGCUUGACUCGCUGGGACUCGAUCUUUAUAUGUGGAUAAGUCGAUGUGAGUACAGCUUUGAGUUGAUCUGACUGACCCCCGCAUUUGGAUUAUUAAGAGAAAGUCCGGCUCGAAUUGAUCUCACUGGCAGGUGUUGGAAUUAAGAGAGCUAUAUAGUCGAUUAACUCCCAUAUGUAUAUAUACACUUUGAUGUGACACACGAAUGUGUGAGUGCUCCAAAUUAUUUUUUGUAUAAAUAUUGUUUGAAUUA